This 403-nucleotide ribosomal RNA is filed under the name uncultured bacterium. RNAcentral describes it as "partial 16S ribosomal RNA". It matches the Rfam family "Bacterial small subunit ribosomal RNA", at positions 28 to 526 of the family's 1533-position model. The record is from RNAcentral.
GACGAACGCUGGCGGCGUGCCUAAUACAUGCAAGUCGAACGCAGUGGGGACGGGUGAGUAACACGUGGGUAACCUCCCAUCAGAGGGGAGAACACUUGGAAACAGGUGCUAACCCGAUACGGAUGGAUGGACCCGCGGGGCAUUAGCUAGUUGGUGAGGUAACGGCUCACCAAGGCCACGAUGCGUAGCCGACCUGAGAGGGGGAUCGGCCACACGGUGACUGAGACACGGCCCAGACUCCUACGUGAGGCAGCAGUAGGGAAUCUUCGGAAAUGGACGAAAGUCUGACCGAGCAACGCCGCGUGAGUGAAGAAGGUUUUCGGAUCGUAAAUCGCUGUUGUUUGAGAAGCGGUAUCUAACCAGAAAGCCACGGCUAACUACGUGCCAGCAGCCGCGGUAAUUC